AGGGUUUGAUCAUGGCUCAGAAUGAACGCUGGCGGCGUGCCUAACACAUGCAAGUCGAACGAGAGAACAGGAGCUUGCUCCUGGGCUCUAGUGGCAGACGGGUGAGUAACGCGUGGGCAACCUACCUUUGAGUGGGGGAUACCCAGCCGAAAGGCUGGUUAAUACCGCAUGACAUGGAGACUACUUCGGUAGAUUCUAUUAAAGUUUGGGAUUUCGGAAACGAGACCAGAUGCUUGAAGAGGGGCUCGCGUUGGAUUAGCUAGUUGGUGGGGUAAAGGCCUACCAAGGCGACGAUCUAUAGCCGGCCUGAGAGGGUGAUCGGCCACACUGGAACUGAGACACGGUCCAGACUCCUACGGGAGGCAGCAGUGGGGAAUUUUGCGCAAUGGGGGAAACCCUGACGCAGCAACGCCGCGUGAGUGAAGAAGCAUCUUGGUGUGUAAAGCUCUGUCGACAGGGACUAAGAAUAUUCGUUUAAGAGAUGGAUAUUUUGAAGGUACCUGUAGAGGAAGCCCCGGCUAACUCCGUGCCAGCAGCCGCGGUAAUACGGGGGGGGCAAGCGUUAUUCGGAAUUACUGGGCGUAAAGGGCGCGCAGGCGGUCCGUUAAGUGAGAAGUGAAAGCCCACGGCUUAACCGUGGAGGUGCUUCUCAUACUGGCGAACUAGAGUAUGGGAGAGGAAAGCGGAAUACCCGGUGUAGCGGUGAAAUGCGUAGAGAUCGGGUGGAACACCAGUGGCGAAGGCGGCUUUCUGGACCAUAACU
RNAcentral lists this ribosomal RNA (763 nucleotides) under uncultured bacterium. RNAcentral describes it as "bacterial SSU rRNA". It matches the Rfam family "Bacterial small subunit ribosomal RNA", at positions 8 to 741 of the family's 1533-position model. The record is from RNAcentral.